CAGAGAACAUCGCCCUCCGGGUGACUCUCCAACCCAGUGUUAUUUUCUACCUUUGUUGCUUUGGCGAGCCGCCUCGGCCACCGGCUCACGCUGGUGAGUGCUCGCCAGAGGACCCAAAACCCUGAAUUUUACAGUAUCGUCUGAGUACUAUAUAAUAGUUUA
Molecule: unclassified non-coding RNA, 162 nt
Filed under: uncultured Chalara
Lineage: Eukaryota; Fungi; Ascomycota; Leotiomycetes; Helotiales
Description: sequence contains ITS1
Source: RNAcentral